RNAcentral lists this unclassified non-coding RNA (926 nucleotides) under Hevea brasiliensis (rubber tree). Lineage: Eukaryota; Viridiplantae; Streptophyta; Magnoliopsida; Malpighiales; Euphorbiaceae. The record is from RNAcentral.
GGAUUCUCACUCCUGCUAUAUCUGGUACAUUCAUGCUAGCCCGUAAAGCCAUUUCUUUGUGUUUAUCUGUUCAUCUACAAAUAAUGCUUCCAUAGAUGUUAUGUAUACCAUGUCUAUUUCUGUGUUUUAAAGCAAAUCAGUGCAAGAAAUAGCCAAAAAUAGUCAAUUGAGCACAAGACUAAGAUGCGAAAAUGGUUUAUAUAGGCUUGUCAAAAUUUGCAAGAUAGUUAUAAAUUGAAAGAAUAUUGUUCUUUCAUUUUCAGAUAUUGCUCAGUAUAUUCUAAAUUCUAAUAUAUCUCAUCCAGCGCCUUGAAGUGACAAAACAUAAUGCUUUCGGUAGACAAAUCACGUGGAUAUGGUUUCUGAGUACCCUAUAUUCCAAGUAUUCUGUGAUAUUUCAAUAGCCUUUUCAUGGAUAAUGGCUCUGGUCUGGGGACGUGCAUAUUAUUAAGAAUAAAAGCUUUUGAAAUGUAAAAUGCUCUAGAAUUUUAGAGACUUGCAUUGCAAUGUAAAAUGAAAAAGUAUUACAUUGUAAACCCCAACUUUUUAAACGAGUGAUUGAUAGUUUUAUAUAUUUAGACCUUCAAAUGUUUUUGAUUGAGUUUCAUGAAACAUUGUUUGAAGAUUUGAGUUCAGAAACACUGGCUAAAGAAUUACUUGAUUGAAGUUUUUCAGUUGACACACUGAGUGACACUGGUCUGCAUUACUGGUGAAUCAGAAAAUCAAAAUCAUAAGUCAUAAGACUUAGACUUCCAUUUGAUUUUUGAGUGCAGCAUAUGGCAUGUGCUAGUGAUAUACAUCUGGGUUAUAUAGAAAAGUUACAAAGAACUUUUGAGCUUAUAUCUUUGAUUUUACUGACAUGAUACAAUAUGUUUUUCCUUGUCCUUUUUAGUUCCUACGAAUAUCUUUAACCAUACUACUUCUGA